UCUUGACUAGUAUAUCGGUUAGUACACGCGCUUGUCAUCCCAAAGAAAUCCAUAUGACGGGUUCGCGCGAAAGCUGGGUUCGACUCCCAGGUCGAGAG
Molecule: non-coding RNA, 98 nt
Organism: Mycena crocata
Lineage: Eukaryota; Fungi; Basidiomycota; Agaricomycetes; Agaricales; Mycenaceae
Source: the annotation of a GenBank genome assembly